Long non-coding RNA from Grammomys surdaster, 303 nucleotides. RefSeq lists it as uncharacterized. The transcript is spliced from 2 exons. The record is from RefSeq and is a predicted model, not a curated record. Lineage: Eukaryota; Metazoa; Chordata; Mammalia; Rodentia; Muridae.
CUUUCUCAAUUCUUCUUAAAUACUGAUAAUCUAAUUAAAAUUGCUUCUACCUUGCUUGCAUAGGAUCCAGGAGCUCAAUGCGAAGAUUACAUCACAAGCACUUCAGGAGCAAGAAAGUUAACAACUGAAUCUAGGAAUGAGCCCCAACCUGAUGACCAUUACUGUGCAGCAGAGUGAAGAUCACUCUGGGGAGGCCUUCACAUGGAUCUGUGUUCACAACUCUGUGCAGUAUUACAUAGAACCCUACCUGAGUCCAGUCAGGCCCAGUGUCUGUGUCCUAAACAAGAUAUAUAUAAAAUCUAA